RNAcentral lists this ribosomal RNA (785 nucleotides) under Xylocopa fimbriata. RNAcentral's name for it is "SSU rRNA". It matches the Rfam family "Eukaryotic small subunit ribosomal RNA", at positions 459 to 1212 of the family's 1831-position model. Lineage: Eukaryota; Metazoa; Arthropoda; Insecta; Hymenoptera; Apidae. The record is from RNAcentral.
CGGGGAGGUAGUGACGAAAAAUAACGAUACGGGACUCAUCCGAGGCCCCGUAAUCGGAAUGAGUACACUUUAAAUCCUUUAACAAGGAUCAAUUGGAGGGCAAGUCUGGUGCCAGCAGCCGCGGUAAUUCCAGCUCCAAUAGCGUAUAUUAAAGUUGUUGCGGUUAAAAAGCUCGUAGUUGAAUCUGUGUGUCACAGUGUCGGUUCACCGCUCGCGGUGUCUAACUGGCAUUAUGUGAUACGUCCUACCGGUGGGCUUAGCYYCUUCGGGGGCGGUCCAACAGACAUCCCAUCGCGGUGCUCUUCACUGAGUGUCGAGGUGGGCCGGUACGUUUACUUUGAAUAAAUUAGAGUGCUUAAAGCAGGCUAUCUUCGCCUGAAUACUAUGUGCAUGGAAUAAUGGAAUAGGACCUCGGUUCUAUUUUGUUGGUUUCCGGAACCCCGAGGUAAUGAUUAAUAGGGACAGAUGGGGGCAUUCGUAUUGCGACGUUAGAGGUGAAAUUCUUGGAUCGUCGCAAGACGGACUAAAGCGAAAGCAUUUGCCAAAAAUGUUUUCAUUAAUCAAGAACGAAAGUUAGAGGUUCGAAGGCGAUCAGAUACCGCCCUAGUUCUAACCAUAAACGAUGCCAACCAGCGAUCCGCCGAUGUUCCUCCGAUGACUCGGCGGGCAGCUUCCGGGAAACCAAAGUUUUUGGGUUCCGGGGGAAGUAUGGUUGCAAAGCUGAAACUUAAAGGAAUUGACGGAAGGGCACCACCAGGAGUGGAGCCUGCGGCUUAAUUUGACUC